Cyanistes caeruleus (blue tit) is the source of this 539-nucleotide non-coding RNA. The record is from RefSeq and is a predicted model, not a curated record. NCBI's taxonomy places the organism in Eukaryota, Metazoa, Chordata, Aves, Passeriformes, Paridae.
AGGACCCCCCCGGGGGUCUUCCCCACGGCCGGCACGGCGCCCGGCCCGCCCCCAAGCCACCCGUCCCUCAUGGCCGCGCGGGGCCCGGGCGCCGCCGGUGCCGCAAGAUGGCGGCGGGCAGGCCCUGAGCGGGGCGGCCGUGAGGGAAGGCUCGGAGCCGCGCCGGUGCUGCCCCGCGGCAGAGCUCAGCGCUCUGGGCUCCCUCCUCUGCCCCAAAGUUCGAAACGGCGUGUCGGCCACAGCUCCAGCCGCUGAGAGAGCCCCCGACCCAGCACGGCAGAAACUUUUUUUGCCUCCUGUGCUUGCCAUCCUGCUUCCUUUCUCCACCCUAAUCCAGAGCCAGGGCUUCUCAGGAGGAUUGUCCUCUUCAUCCCUCCCUGACAAGGAAUGACCUCCAGCAGCAACACCCUGGAUGAGUUGGCCUCUGCCAGGGCUUUAACACCGACCACCAGAGCCAGCUGCUGUCCCAGGCCUUGGCCACGACAGCUGAGUAAGGGAAAGAGCCCCAGCCCGUGCUUCCCUCCUGAGCCCUCUGGUCC